This 284-nucleotide signal recognition particle RNA is filed under the name Arabidopsis halleri subsp. gemmifera. Its description in RNAcentral is "SRP RNA Plant_SRP". It matches the Rfam family "Plant signal recognition particle RNA", at positions 1 to 222 of the family's 305-position model. Lineage: Eukaryota; Viridiplantae; Streptophyta; Magnoliopsida; Brassicales; Brassicaceae. The record is from RNAcentral.
GUCGAGCUCAGUAACUCGGGCUUGUGAUUCAAGUGGAGACAAUAAGGUGAUGGGACGUUGGGUCGAUCUCAUUGGGCCGGAUUCGGGUUGGGCUAUAUUCUGGCCCGCCCAUUCCAAGUUGGGAGUUGAGAUAUGGGGUUUGAGCGAAGGCUCGGGUCUCAAGUCUUCUAGAGUGGGGGAGACCGCGUGAGGCUGGUUUCAGCUAUAUGCUGGUAUGUGAGGUGGACGCUGGUAUGUGAAACCAGCCUCACACAGAGUCACAUACCUGAAUGAGUAUCAGCUAU